Molecule: non-coding RNA, 114 nt
Organism: Acanthosepion pharaonis
Lineage: Eukaryota; Metazoa; Mollusca; Cephalopoda; Sepiida; Sepiidae
Source: the annotation of a GenBank genome assembly
UUACGGCCAUACCACAUUGAAACACCGGUUCCCGUACGAUCACCGAAGUUAAGCACCGCCAAGCCUUGUCAGUACCUGGAUGAGUAAUUGUUUGGGCAUACCUGAUGCUGUAAG